CGGACCCGCGCCCGCGCAGGCGCAGUGGUUGGCUGUGUGCCCUCUAGGUGGCGUCCCAGGAAGAAGUCAGAAAAAAAAGAAUUGAGGAAAAUCUACUUGGGUCCUAGUCCUGGCUCUGAAACUACGUACUAUGGCCUUAGGAUCUCCAUGUGCAAAAAGCUGGAGUGAGAUUUACAAAACCGUACACCUUUUCAGAGUUCAUGAAGGGCCACGGGCAAACCGACAGUUGUGCAGCAGGAGAAGCUGCUGCUUUGAAAAAGUCUUUCUUCAGGGGCGAAUCUCAUCAACCUAAAGAUUUAACU
Molecule: long non-coding RNA, 302 nt
Organism: Myotis brandtii (Brandt's bat)
Lineage: Eukaryota; Metazoa; Chordata; Mammalia; Chiroptera; Vespertilionidae
Exons: 4
Source: RefSeq, a predicted model, not a curated record